This 128-nucleotide ribosomal RNA is filed under the name Prolemur simus (greater bamboo lemur). The record is from RNAcentral. Lineage: Eukaryota; Metazoa; Chordata; Mammalia; Primates; Lemuridae.
GUCUAUGGCCAUACCACCGGAACAUUCCUGCUCUUGUCUGAUCUCAGAUGCUAAGCAGGGUGGGCCUUUGUUAGUGUUUGGAUGGGAGACAGGAUUUCUUUUUAGGGUGAGAGUAGAGGACUCAAACU